UCGAAUAAUCCAAAAGGUGUUGUGAUC
RNAcentral lists this small RNA (27 nucleotides) under Bombyx mori (domestic silkworm). RNAcentral's name for it is "ovarian small RNA-28240". The record is from RNAcentral. Lineage: Eukaryota; Metazoa; Arthropoda; Insecta; Lepidoptera; Bombycidae.